Molecule: ribosomal RNA, 2913 nt
Filed under: Triticum aestivum (bread wheat)
Lineage: Eukaryota; Viridiplantae; Streptophyta; Magnoliopsida; Poales; Poaceae
Description: partial small subunit ribosomal RNA
Source: RNAcentral
AUGGCCCCAUCCCGGCCGCCGACGGCGCUGGCGGGGGCUAUGCUGACCGGCAGGGAGANNNNNNNNNNNNNNNNNNNNNNNNNNNNNNNNNNNNNNNNNNNNNNNNNNNNNNNNNNNCGCUCCUCUUUUUUUCUCCAGGCCGACGACGUGGGUGAGGCGGCCGCUGCGGGCCCUUCUUCGUCGGGAGGGGGCGCCGGCGCGGAGCGGGUGGCCUGCCCCGUCUGCGGCGAGUUCAUCCCCGGCUCGGACUACUGCGUCAACACCCACCUCGAUAUAUGCCUCUCCAGAGGAGCGAAACGAAAGUUAACACAGAGCAGCCUUCUCGAUUUCAGAUUCAGCAAAAAAACAACAGCUGAGCCUACCCCAGAGAUCUUGAACAACGGUGACGAGGCAGAAAACAAGGGACUGACGGAUGGAGACGUAUCUACCGACAGAGAAUUUUCCUCCAUGAAUGGCGACACUGGAAGUCCCAUGGAUAGCGCAACUGCUUUAUUAACUUGUUGCCUGCGUGGUUCACCUGGCAUUUCUAAGACGCUCAAUACAUGUAGACCUUCAAAUGCUGGCUUGCCAAUUAUGAAGAACGCUGAAAAUAACGAUGCUGUCGAGAAGGCCUCUUCCUGCUCGUUUUCAGCAGCAACAACUUCUGUCAGUAUUGAUGCAUGUCCAGACGUGGAUUCUAGCACCACGGUAGCUGUUGACACUGUCAUAGUGGGCCGGAGGUUCCGUGAAAGCUUUGAACUGCAAGAGGGCAUGGGCAUUACUGUCUUAAGAGACCCGCAGAAUGCCAAGGACUCUGAUGCUGUCAAGGUGCUUUAUGCAGGGUCUGAUUGCGGGCAGAUGCUUGGAUAUUUGCCUCGAGAGCUGGCUAAAGUCUUGGCUCCUCUACUGGAUACACAUUUUAUUGAAUGCGAGGGAUUUGUGGCUGGUUUGCCUGAACAACAGCUUGACAAUGUGCCCAUCCAACUAACUUGUAAGAAAUGUGAAAAUGACAAUCAGAAUUAUGAAGAUCUGAGAUACCAACAAUCCUUGUGGGAAAAUUUUCUUGGUGUUGUUAGAAAUGGAAAUUUCCAGCAACCUAGCAGUGCAAGAUACCAGGCAAAUUUCAGUACGAUGCUAUUGGAUGUUAUGACCAACCAUACACACCUUUUCAGUGAUACGGAAACAUCAUUUUUAGGAUCUUUUAAGUCGUUAUUGAACGAUGGCCAAAGGCUUUUUGUGAAGAUUUACACUCGAAAAGGGCCAUGGUUUCGGUUGAGCAGCAUUUCGUAUCGUGAGAUAUCAGAUGUUGAGCAUGCAGCCAUGGAGUUGAAGUUGGCAGGUUAUGUAGACAUGUUUUCUUGCACCGAUGUUCCAUUUGAACAUGAUAUGAAAGAGAUUCUCAAUGUGCUAAGUGUUCCUGAAAUGAAGGAAAUCCUAAAGGAGCUCCCUAAGGAUAACACAAACUGCACCCGUCGACAUGAGCUUCUUAGCACCCUUCUCUCUAUGUACAAUAAUGGAACCUGCACAGUGCUUCCAAAGCGAAUUUUUAAAUGGACAGGAACCUGUAUAAGAGUCUCCAAUAUGGCUGAUGAACUUCUGUGGCUUGUUCAGAGGCUAUUUUUUCUAAACGGUGAUCAAGAUCUGUCAUCCUUUCUAUUAGUGGAUCUUGGUCUGGUGAAAUUCCCAGACUACACAUGCAGCGUUGUUCAUCGCAUUUUUCAAGAAAGAAAUGAUUUACUUGAGUAUGAAGAGGCAAUUCGAGUGGCACAGUUCAUGGAUGAAUCUCUUGAUAAUGAUAACAUGGAAUUAGUGUCAAGAUGCACUGAUUUGUCUGAGAAUCGACUAUGCACUUCGUUAAAAGAAGAAGAUAGCAGUUUAGCUGAUUCUCCUCCAUCAUUCUAUUCAUGCUUUUCAUCUACCUGGAUCUAUUCCAAAAUACUCACACUAGGUGUCUCUGUUUACGAACGCGAACGCAGGUAUGCAGAUGCAAUAAGGACUCUAAAGAUACUACUUAGUAAAGUUGCUUCUGGUAGACGGCGAGGAUAUUGGACACUGAGAUUAUCUAUUGAUUUGGAGCAUAUGGGUCGCCCUAAUGAGAGCCUUUCAAUAGCUGAAGGAGGAGUGACCGAUCCAUGGAUCCGUGCUGGGCCAAAGAUUGCACUGCAGAAGAGAGUUCUGCGUUUAGGCAAACCUCCACGGCGCUGGAAAGUUCCCAGUUAUGCUGAUUCUCUUAAGAGAAACAUAAAAGAGGUGAACAUCGAAGGAAGGCCAUUAAAUUGUGAAAUAGGAGCAAAGAAUGUGUUUUAUGGCUAUGAUGGUGACCGUUGUGGGGUAGAGCAAUUAGCUUUGCAGUAUUAUGCUGACGAGGGAGGUGGCUGGGAAGGUACCCAUUCAGAAGGUGGCAUAUGGAUGACAAUCUUUGGCCUUCUAAUGUGGGAUGUAAUAUUCUCAGAAGUAUCCGAUGUUUUCCAUUCUAAAUUUCAGACGGCCCCUCUUGAUUUUGAAACAGAUGACUUCUACAAGUCAAGAAAGGACCUUAUAGAAGCACAGUUGAAAAGGAUACAAGAUGGAAUGGCCGAAGAGAUGCUUAUCAGCUCCUGGGAGCUACAUCAAGGGACAUCCUGCAGGGGUGUCAACUGGGACCGGCAUCCAAUGGCCGAUGUACGGGCUGUCGUUGCGGGCGCUGGUGGGCAUCGCUUGGCAUUACUUCUUCGGCAUCUAGCCCUCGAUUACAGGAGCUGGUCCAGCGGGAUGCCUGAUCUGCUGCUAUGGCGUUUCCUGGAUGAACGAGGUGGUGCUGAAGCUAAACUUGUGGAGGUCAAAGGACCAAAGGAUCAGCUCUCUGAGCAGCAACGUGCUUGGAUUUUUGUCCUGAUGGAUUUCGGGUUUGAUGUGGAAGUUUGCAAAGUGAGCCUAGUUUCUAAGCAGCGAUAG